UACGUAGGGUGCAAGCGUUGUCCGGAAUUAUUGGGCGUAAGAGCUCGUAGGCGGUUUGUCGCGUCUGCUGUGAAAACCCGAGGCUCAACCUCGGGCCUGCAGUGGGUACGGGCAGACUAGAGUGCGGUAGGGGAGAUUGGAAUCCUGGUGUAGCGGUGGAAUGCGCAGAUAUCAGGAGGAACACCGAUGCGAAGGCAGAUCUCUGGCCGUAACUGACGCUGAGGAGCG
This 228-nucleotide ribosomal RNA is filed under the name uncultured bacterium. RNAcentral's name for it is "partial 16S ribosomal RNA". It matches the Rfam family "Bacterial small subunit ribosomal RNA", at positions 524 to 755 of the family's 1533-position model. The record is from RNAcentral.